UACGUAGGGGCUAGCGUUAUCCGGAAUUACUGGGCGUAAAGGGUGCGUAGGUGGUUUCUUAAGUCAGAGGUGAAAGGCUACGGCUCAACCGUAGUAAGCCUUUGAAACUGAGAAACUUGAGUGCAGGAGAGGAGAGUAGAAUUCCUAGUGUAGCGGUGAAAUGCGUAGAUAUUAGGAGGAAUACCAGUUGCGAAGGCGGCUCUCUGGACUGUAACUGACACAGAGGCACGAAAGCGUGGGGAGCAAACAGGAUUAGAUACCCCCGUAGUCCCUGAGCGGG
This 280-nucleotide ribosomal RNA is filed under the name uncultured prokaryote. RNAcentral's name for it is "partial 16S ribosomal RNA". It matches the Rfam family "Bacterial small subunit ribosomal RNA", at positions 524 to 803 of the family's 1533-position model. The record is from RNAcentral.